AAACCUAUAGUUUAAAUUAAAAUAUAUGAUUUGCACUCAUAAGAUAUUUUUUAUAAAAUUAGGUUUA
RNAcentral lists this transfer RNA (67 nucleotides) under Grimothea gregaria. RNAcentral describes it as "Munida gregaria tRNA-Ala". It matches the Rfam family "tRNA". From Rfam's summary of the family: Transfer RNA (tRNA) molecules are approximately 80 nucleotides in length. Their secondary structure includes four short double-helical elements and three loops (D, anti-codon, and T loops). The record is from RNAcentral. Lineage: Eukaryota; Metazoa; Arthropoda; Malacostraca; Decapoda; Munididae.